ACGAAGCACUCUAUGGUGCGCAGUAUAAAGGCGAGUGGAGCGUUAUAAACGACCUUUCAUUAAGGAUGGCGGACGGUGCACGAAGUCAUUUGUGCGCAGAGGGUGGCGUGAUGUGGGCUGAAGCUCUCCGAUGUCGCCUUCCAUCGAUAACCUGAUGGGGUUAUUUGAAGUGACCUGAUUUAUCAGAUGGCAGGAUGUGGAGGUGCUUGUGAAGGCCCUUUCUGCAUGCAGGACUGAAUGAGGGUAGAGAAACUCAUGAGAUCAGCAGUGGAAGCUGGAGUUUGUCACCAAUGGAAUGUAGGCCAGGUACCGUGACUGAAAACAGAUGUCGGUGUGCAGUUGGGGUCCCAGUUGCAGUUUCUGCUUUUGUGCUUCUCUUGAAUGGGGAAACACCUGUGUGUUCGGUUUAAAAAUAAAAUAAAAAUCCUAAACUGUGUAAACAAA
Long non-coding RNA from Conger conger (European conger), 444 nucleotides. RefSeq lists it as uncharacterized. The record is from RefSeq and is a predicted model, not a curated record. NCBI's taxonomy places the organism in Eukaryota, Metazoa, Chordata, Actinopteri, Anguilliformes, Congridae. The transcript is spliced from 5 exons.